This 500-nucleotide ribosomal RNA is filed under the name uncultured bacterium. RNAcentral's name for it is "bacterial SSU rRNA". It matches the Rfam family "Bacterial small subunit ribosomal RNA", at positions 68 to 563 of the family's 1533-position model. The record is from RNAcentral.
GGGGAAGGGUAGCUUGCUACCUGACCUAGCGGCGGACGGGUGAGUAAUGCUUAGGAAUCUGCCUAUUAGUGGGGGACAACAUUCCGAAAGGAAUGCUAAUACCGCAUACGCCCUACGGGGGAAAGCAGGGGAUCUUCGGACCUUGCGCUAAUAGAUGAGCCUAAGUCAGAUUAGCUAGUUGGUGGGGUAAAGGCCUACCAAGGCGACGAUCUGUAGCGGGUCUGAGAGGAUGAUCCGCCACACUGGGACUGAGACACGGCCCAGACUCCUACGGGAGGCAGCAGUGGGGAAUAUUGGACAAUGGGCGAAAGCCUGAUCCAGCCAUGCCGCGUGUGUGAAGAAGGCCUUUUGGUUGUAAGCACUUUAAGCGAGGAGGAGGCUACUGAGAUUAAUACUCUUGGAUAGUGGACGUUACUCGCAGAAUAAGCACCGGCUAACUCUGUGCCAGCAGCCGCGGUAAUACAGAGGGUGCGAGCGUUAAUCGGAUUUACUGGGCGUAA